GACGAACGCUGGCGGCGUGCUUAACACAUGCAAGUCGAACGGAAAGGCCCUGCUUUUGUGGGGUGCUCGAGUGGCGAACGGGUGGGUAACACGUGAGUAACCUGCCCUUGACUUUGGGAUAACUUCAGGAAACUGGGGCUAAUACCGGAUAGGAGCUCCUGCUGCAUGGUGGGGGUUGGAAAGUUUCGGCGGUUGGGGAUGGACUCGCGGCUUAUCAGCUUGUUGGUGGGGUAGUGGCUUACCAAGGCUUUGACGGGUAGCCGGCCUGGGAGGGUGACCGGGCACAAGGGGACUGAGAGACGGACCAGACGCCAACGUGAGGCAGCAGUGGGGAGUAUGGCAGAAUGGGGGGAAGCCUGAUGCGGCAACGCCGGGUGCGGGAUGACGGCCUUCGGGUUGUAAACCGCUGUCGCCUGUGACGAAGAGGGAGUGACGGUAAUGGGUAAAGAAGCACCGGCUAACUACGUG
Molecule: ribosomal RNA, 468 nt
Filed under: uncultured bacterium
Lineage: Bacteria
Description: partial 16S ribosomal RNA
Rfam family: Bacterial small subunit ribosomal RNA
Source: RNAcentral